This 430-nucleotide ribosomal RNA is filed under the name Pseudomonadota bacterium. Its description in RNAcentral is "Proteobacteria bacterium partial 16S ribosomal RNA". It matches the Rfam family "Bacterial small subunit ribosomal RNA", at positions 355 to 776 of the family's 1533-position model. Lineage: Bacteria; Pseudomonadati; Pseudomonadota. The record is from RNAcentral.
UGGGGAAUAUUGGACAAUGGGGGGAGCCCUGAUCCAGCCAUGCCGCGUGUGUGAAGAAGGCCUUAUGGUUGUAAAGCACUUUAAGCGAGGAGGAGGGUACUGGUAUUAAUACUACCAGCUACUGGACGUUACUCGCAGAAUAAGCACCGGCUAACUCUGUGCCAGCAGCCGCGGUAAUACAGAGGGUGCGAGCGUUAAUCGGAUUUACUGGGCGUAAAGCGUGCGUAGGCGGCUAAUUGAGUCGGAUGUGAAAUCCCCGAGCUUAACUUGGGAAUUGCAUUCGAUACUGGUUAGCUAGAGUGUGGGAGAGGAUGGUAGAAUUCCAGGUGUAGCGGUGAAAUGCGUAGAGAUCUGGAGGAAUACCGAUGGCGAAGGCAGCCAUCUGGCCUAACACUGACGCUGAGGUACGAAAGCAUGGGGAGCAAACAGG